This 486-nucleotide ribosomal RNA is filed under the name uncultured bacterium. Its description in RNAcentral is "partial 16S ribosomal RNA". It matches the Rfam family "Bacterial small subunit ribosomal RNA", at positions 30 to 507 of the family's 1533-position model. The record is from RNAcentral.
AUUGAACGCUGGCGGCAUGCCUUACACAUGCAAGUCGAACGGCAGCACGGGUGCUUGCACCUGGUGGCGAGUGGCGAACGGGUGAGUAAUACAUCGGAACAUGUCCUGUAGUGGGGGAUAGCCCGGCGAAAGCCGGAUUAAUACCGCAUACGAUCUACGGAUGAAAGCGGGGGACCUUCGGGCCUCGCGCUAUAGGGUUGGCCGAUGGCUGAUUAGCUAGUUGGUGGGGUAAAGGCCUACCAAGGCGACGAUCAGUAGCUGGUCUGAGAGGACGACCAGCCACACUGGGACUGAGACACGGCCCAGACUCCUACGGGAGGCAGCAGUGGGGAAUUUUGGACAAAGGGCGAAAGCCUGAUCCAGCAAUGCCGCGUGUGUGAAGAAGGCCUUCGGGUUGUAAAGCACCUUUGUCCGGAAAGAAAUCCUUGGCCCUAAUACGGUCGGGGGAUGACGGUACCGGAAGAAUAAGCACCGGCUAACUACGUG